GAUGAACGCUGGCGGCGUGCCUAAUACAUGCAAGUCGAGCGAACAGAUAAGGAGCCUGCUCCUUUGACGUUAGCGGCGGACGGGUGAGUAACACGUGGGUAACCUACCUAUAAGACUGGGAUAACUUCGGGAAACCGGAGCUAAUACCGGAUAAUAUUUCGAACCGCAUGGUUCGAUAGUGAAAGAUGGUUUUGCUAUCACUUAUAGAUGGACCCGCGCCGUAUUAGCUAGUUGGUAAGGUAACGGCUUACCAAGGCGACGAUACGUAGCCGACCUGAGAGGGUGAUCGGCCACACUGGAACUGAGACGCGGUCCAGACUCCUACGGGAGGCAGCAGUAGGGAAUCUUCCGCAAUGGGCGAAAGCCUGACGGAGCAACGCCGCGUGAGUGAUGAAGGUCUUCGGAUCGUAAAACUCUGUUAUUAGGGAAGAACAUACGUGUAAGUAACUGUGCACGGCUUGACGGUACCUAAUCAGAAAGCCACGGCUAACUACGUG
RNAcentral lists this ribosomal RNA (497 nucleotides) under uncultured bacterium. Its description in RNAcentral is "partial 16S ribosomal RNA". It matches the Rfam family "Bacterial small subunit ribosomal RNA", at positions 28 to 507 of the family's 1533-position model. The record is from RNAcentral.